GGGCGGUUAGCUCAGCGGUUAGAGCGUCCGGCUUACACCCGGGAGGCCGCAGGUUCAAAUCCUGCACUGCCCACCA
Molecule: transfer RNA, 76 nt
Filed under: Terriglobia bacterium
Lineage: Bacteria; Pseudomonadati; Acidobacteriota; Terriglobia
Description: tRNA-Val
Rfam family: tRNA
About the family: Transfer RNA (tRNA) molecules are approximately 80 nucleotides in length. Their secondary structure includes four short double-helical elements and three loops (D, anti-codon, and T loops). Further hydrogen bonds mediate the characteristic L-shaped molecular structure. tRNAs have two regions of fundamental functional importance: the anti-codon, which is responsible for specific mRNA codon recognition, and the 3' end, to which the tRNAs corresponding amino acid is attached (by aminoacyl-tRNA synthetases). tRNAs cope with the degeneracy of the genetic code in two manners: having more than one tRNA (with a specific anti-codon) for a particular amino acid; and 'wobble' base-pairing, i.e. permitting non-standard base-pairing at the 3rd anti-codon position.
Source: RNAcentral